UCUCUGCUGCAAUUAUCCCUAAAUUAAAAUGACUUGGUCAAAGUAAUACUGAGUGCAAAGUUACUUGGCCAUCAAUGAAAUUUCUGACUUCUGAUUCCAUUACACCAAGUGUGUUCACAUUAAGUGCAGGAUUAGCAUGCAGAGUUUGGAACUAAAAAAUUAGGUGAAAUAAAGGGACAUCGAUAUAAAAUUUUUGAUUUUAAGAAACAUGUUUAAUAAAAUACUUUACAUGAGAAUCAAAUAAAUUUUAAAUGUCGAGGGUAGUACUAUGAACUAAAAUCUCCUGUAUUCAUGCAAUGCUACAAAAGCUACAACAUAGUAAUAUGAUUUUUCAACUGCUUCAUUCAGUCUCCACUUUCAGACAUCUUAGAAAUAAUUUAUAGCUUCCUUCCCGUGCAUUUGUCCUAAUGUUGUUGACUCCUUCCCUCGUUUGCAACCAUCUUCGAACGUAGCCCUGCACGACCAAAUAUUCUAGUACGCAACGUGGGAUCAUAAGCUUGUCACCAAAAACCGAUAGUGAAAUUUGACGUCAUAUAGCUAGUAGCAAAAUUCUUUAUAC
This 559-nucleotide long non-coding RNA is filed under the name Olea europaea (common olive). RNAcentral describes it as "long non-coding RNA (OEUR_LNC011621)". Lineage: Eukaryota; Viridiplantae; Streptophyta; Magnoliopsida; Lamiales; Oleaceae. The record is from RNAcentral.